Molecule: long non-coding RNA, 7820 nt
Filed under: Sorghum bicolor (sorghum)
Lineage: Eukaryota; Viridiplantae; Streptophyta; Magnoliopsida; Poales; Poaceae
Description: long non-coding RNA (SBIC_LNC015499)
Source: RNAcentral
CGGCCCGCCCAUAGCUCCUUCGACGGCGCCGCCUAGGAACGCGGAGAAAAUAUGACAAAGGAACGGCCAAAAAUAAAAAGAAAGACCUUUCUUUUGAAAAAACAAACAAAAAAAGGAAUGCAACACGAGGACUUCCCAGGAGGUCACCCAUCCUAGUACUACUCUCGCCCAAGCACGCUUAACUUCAAAGUUCUGAUGGGAUCCGGUGCUUUAGUGCUGGUAUGAUCGCAUCCGACAUACCGUGCGUUCUCCUCCCCUUUAUGCCCGCGCCUCCGUGUACGGCCCGCCCAUAGCUCCUUCGACGGCGCCGCCUAGGAACGCGGAGAAAAUAUGACAAAGGAACGGCCAAAAAUAAAAAGAAAGACCUUUCUUUUGAAAAAACAAACAAAAAAAGGAAUGCAACACGAGGACUUCCCAGGAGGUCACCCAUCCUAGUACUACUGUCGCCCAAGCACGCUUAAGUUCGGAGUUCUGAUGGGAUCCGGUGCUUUAGUGCUGGUAUGAUCGCAUCCGACAUGCCGUGCGUUCUCCUCCCCUUUAUGCCCGCGCCUCCGUGUACGGCCCGCCCAUAGCUCCUUCGUCGGCGCCGCCUAGGAACGCGGAGAAAAUAUGACAAAGGAACGGCCAAAAAUAAAAAGAAAGACCUUUCUUUUGAAAAAACAAACGCCUCCGUGUACGGCCCGCCCAUAGCUCCUUCGACGGCGCCGCCUAGGAACGCGGAGAAAAUAUGACAAAGGAACGGCCAAAAAUAAAAAGAAAGACCUUUCUUUUGAAAAAACAAACAAAAAAAAGGAAUGCAACACGAGGACUUCCCAGGAGGUCACCCAUCCUAGUACUACUCUCGCCCAAGCACGCUUAACUUCGGAGUUCUGAUGGGAUCCGGUGCUUUAGUGCUGGUAUGAUCGCAUCCGACAUACCGUGCGUUCUCCUCCCCUUUAUGCCCGCCCCUCCGUGUACGGCCCGCCCAUAGCUCUUUCGACGGCGCCGCCUAGGAACGCGGAGAAAAUAUGACAAAGGAACGGCCAAAAAUAAAAAGAAAGACCUUUCUUUUGAAAAAACAAACGCCUCCGUGUACGGCCCGCCCAUAGCUCCUUCGACGGCGCCGCCUAGGAACGCGGAGAAAAUAUGACAAAGGAACGGCCAAAAAUAAAAAGAAAGACCUUUCUUUUGAAAAAACAAACAAAAAAAAGGAAUGCAACACGAGGACUUCCCAGGAGGUCACCCAUCCUAGUACUACUCUCGCCCAAGCACGCUUAACUUCGGAGUUCUGAUGGGAUCCGGUGCUUUAGUGCUGGUAUGAUCGCAUCCGACAUACCGUGCGUUCUCCUCCCCUUUAUGCCCGCGCCUCCGUGUACGGCCCGCCCAUAGCUCCUUCGACGGCGCCGCCUAGGAACGCGGAGAAAAUAUGACAAAGGAACGGCCAAAAAUAAAAAGAAAGACCUUUCUUUUGAAAAAACAAACAAAAAAAAGGAAUGCAACACGAGGACUUCCCAGGAGGUCACCCAUCCUAGUACUACUCUCGCCCAAGCACGCUUAACUUCGGAGUUCUGAUGGGAUCCGGUGCUUUAGUGCUGGUAUGAUCGCAUCCGACAUACCGUGCGUUCUCCUCCCCUUUAUGCCCGCGCCUCCGUGUACGGCCCGCCCAUAGCUCCUUCGACGGCGCCGCCUAGGAACGCGGAGAAAAUAUGACAAAGGAACGGGCAAAAAUAAAAAGAAAGACCUUUCUUUUGAAAAAACAAACAAAAAAAAGGAAUGCAACACGAGGACUUCCCAGGAGGUCACCCAUCCUAGUACUACUCUCGCCCAAGCACGCUUAACUUCGGAGUUCUGAUGGGAUCCGGUGCUUUAGUGCUGGUAUGAUCGCAUCCGACAUACCGUGCGUUCUCCUCCCCUUUAUGCCCGCGCCUCCGUGUACGGGCCGUCCAUAGCUCCUUCGACGGCGCCGCCUAUGAACGCGGAGAAAAUAUGACAAAGGAACGGCCAACAAUCAUACGAAAGACCUUUCUUUUGAAAAAACAAACAAAAAAAAGGAAUGCGACACGAGGACUUCCCAGGAGGUCACCCAUCCUAGUACUACUCUCGCCCAAGCACGCUUAACUUCGGAGUUCUGAUGGGAUCCGGUGCUUUAGUGCUAGUAUGAUCGCAUUCGACAUACCGUGCGUUCUCCUCCCCUUUAUGCCCGCGCCUCCGUGUACGGCCCGCCCAUAGCUCCUUCGACGGCGCCGCCUAGGAACGCGGAGAAAAUAUGACAAAGGAACGGCCAAAAAUAAAAAGAAAGACCUUUCUUUUGAAAAAACAAACAAAUAAAAGGAAUGCAACACGAGGACUUCCCAGGAGGUCACCCAUCCUAGUACUACUCUCGCCCAAGCACGCUUAACUUCGGAGUUCUGAUGGGAUCCGGUGCUUUAGUGCUGGUAUGAUCGCAUCCGACAUACCGUGCGUUCUCCUCCCCUUUAUGCCCGCGCCUCCGUGUACGGCCCGCCCAUAGCUCCUUCGACGGCGCCGCCUAGGAACGCGGAGAAAAUAUGACAAAGGAACGGCCAAAAAUAAAAAGAAAGACCUUUCUUUUGAAAAAACAAACGCCUCCGUGUACGGCCCGCCCAUAGCUCCUUCGACGGCGCCGCCUAGGAACGCGGAGAAAAUAUGACAAAGGAACGGCCAAAAAUAAAAAGAAAGACCUUUCUUUUGAAAAAACAAACAAAAAAAAGGAAUGCAACACGAGGACUUCCCAGGAGGUCACCCAUCCUAGUACUACUCUCGCCCAAGCACGCUUAACUUCGGAGUUCUGAUGGGAUCCGGUGCUUUAGUGCUGGUAUGAUCGCAUCCGACAUACCGUGCGUUCUCCUCCCCUUUAUGCCCGCGCCUCCGUGUACGGCCCGCCCAUAGCUCCUUCGACGGCGCCGCCUAGGAACGCGGAGAAAAUAUGACAAAGGAACGGCCAAAAAUAAAAAGAAAGACCUUUCUUUUGAAAAAACAAACAAAUAAAAGGAAUGCAACACGAGGACUUCCCAGGAGGUCACCCAUCCUAGUACUACUCUCGCCCAAGCACGCUUAACUUCGGAGUUCUGAUGGGAUCCGGUGCUUUAGUGCUGGUAUGAUCGCAUCCGACAUACCGUGCGUUCUCCUCCCCUUUAUGCCCGCGCCUCCGUGUACGGCCCGCCCAUAGCUCCUUCGACGGCGCCGCCUAGGAACGCGGAGAAAAUAUGACAAAGGAACGGCCAAAAAUAAAAAGAAAGACCUUUCUUUUGAAAAAACAAACAAAUAAAAGGAAUGCAACACGAGGACUUCCCAGGAGGUCACCCAUCCUAGUACUACUCUCGCCCAAGCACGCUUAACUUCGGAGUUCUGAUGGGAUCCGGUGCUUUAGUGCUGGUAUGAUCGCAUCCGACAUACCGUGCGUUCUCCUCCCCUUUAUGCCCGCGCCUCCGUGUACGGCCCGCCCAUAGCUCCUUCGACGGCGCCGCCUUGGAACGCGGAGAAAAUAUGACAAAGGAACGGCCAAAAAUAAAAAGAAAGACCUUUCUUUUGAAAAAACAAACAAAUAAAAGGAAUGCAACACGAGGACUUCCCAGGAGGUCACCCAUCCUAGUACUACUCUCGCCCAAGCACGCUUAACUUCGGAGUUCUGAUGGGAUCCGGUGCUUUAGUGCUGGUAUGAUCGCAUCCGACAUACCGUGCGUUCUCCUCCCCUUUAUGCCCGCGCCUCCGUGUACGGCCCGCCCAUAGCUCCUUCGACGGCGCCGCCUAGGAACGCGGAGAAAAUAUGACAAAGGAACGGCCAAAAAUAAAAAGAAAGACCUUUCUUUUGAAAAAACAAACAAAUAAAAGGAAUGCAACACGAGGACUUCCCAGGAGGUCACCCAUCCUAGUACUACUCUCGCCCAAGCACGCUUAACUUCGGAGUUCUGAUGGGAUCCGGUGCUUUAGUGCUGGUAUGAUCGCAUUCGACAUACCGUGCGUUCUCCUCCCCUUUAUGCCCGCGCCUCCGUGUACGGGCCGCCCAUAGCUCCUUCGACGGCGCCGCCUAGGAACGCGGAGAAAAUAUGACAAAGGAACGGCCAAAAAUAAAAAGAAAGACCUGUUCUUUUGAAAAAACAAACUAAAAAAAGGAAUGCAGCACGAGGACUUCCCAGGAGGUCACCCAUCCUAAUACUACUCUCGCCCAAGCACGCUUAACUUCGGAGUUCUGAUGGGAUCCGGAGCUUUAGUGUUGGUAUGAUCGCAUCCGACAUACCGUGCGUUCUCCUCCCCUUUAUGCACCCGCCUCCGUGUACGGCCCGCCCAUAGCUCCUUCGACGGCGCCGCCUAGGAACGCGGAGAAAAUAUGACAAAGGAACGGCCAAAAAUAAAAAGAAAGACCUUUCUUUUGAAAAAACAAACAAAAAAAAGGAAUGCAACACGAGGACUUCCCAGGAGGUCACCCAUCCUAGUACUACUCUCGCCCAAGCACGCUUAACUUCGGAGUUCUGAUGGGAUCCGGUGCUUUAGUGCUGGUAUGAUCGCAUCCGACAUACCGUGCGUUCUCCUCCCCUUUAUGCCCGCGCCUCCGUGUACGGCCCGCCCAUAGCUCCUUCGACGGCGCCGCCUAGGAACGCGGAGAAAAUAUGACAAAGGAACGGCCAAAAAUAAAAAGAAAGACCUUUCUUUUGAAAAAACAAACAAAAAAAAGGAAUGCAACACGAGGACUUCCCAGGAGGUCACCCAUCCUAGUACUACUCUCGCCCAAGCACGCUUAACUUCGGAGUUCUGAUGGGAUCCGGUGCUUUAGUGCUGGUAUGAUCGCAUCCGACAUACCGUGCGUUCUCCUCCCCUUUAUGCCCGCGCCUCCGUGUACGGCCCGCCCAUAGCUCCUUCGACGGCGCCGCCUAGGAACGCGGAGAAAAUAUGACAAAGGAACGGCCAAAAAUAAAAAGAAAGACCUUUCUUUUGAAAAAACAAACAAAUAAAAGGAAUGCAACACGAGGACUUCCCAGGAGGUCACCCAUCCUAGUACUACUCUCGCCCAAGCACGCUUAACUUCGGAGUUCUGAUGGGAUCCGGUGCUUUAGUGCUGGUAUGAUCGCAUCCGACAUACCGUGCGUUCUCCUCCCCUUUAUGCCCGCGCCUCCGUGUACGGCCCGCCCAUAGCUCCUUCGACGGCGCCGCCUAGGAACGCGGAGAAAAUAUGACAAAGGAACGGCCAAAAAUAAAAAGAAAGACCUUUCUUUUGAAAAAACAAACGCCUCCGUGUACGGCCCGCCCAUAGCUCCUUCGACGGCGCCGCCUAGGAACGCGGAGAAAAUAUGACAAAGGAACGGCCAAAAAUAAAAAGAAAGACCUUUCUUUUGAAAAAACAAACAAAAAAAAGGAAUGCAACACGAGGACUUCCCAGGAGGUCACCCAUCCUAGUACUACUCUCGCCCAAGCACGCUUAACUUCGGAGUUCUGAUGGGAUCCGGUGCUUUAGUGCUGGUAUGAUCGCAUCCGACAUACCGAGCGUUCUCCUCCCCUUUAUGCCCGCGCCUCCGUGUACGGCCCGCCCAUAGCUCCUUCGACGGCGCCGCCUAGGAACGCGGAGAAAAUAUGACAAAGGAACGGCCAAAAAUAAAAAGAAAGACCUUUCUUUUGAAAAAACAAACGCCUCCGUGUACGGCCCGCCCAUAGCUCCUUCGACGGCGCCGCCUAGGAACGCGGAGAAAAUAUGACAAAGGAACGGCCAAAAAUAAAAAGAAAGACCUUUCUUUUGAAAAAACAAACAAAAAAAAGGAAUGCAACACGAGGACUUCCCAGGAGGUCACCCAUCCUAGUACUACUCUCGCCCAAGCACGCUUAACUUCGGAGUUCUGAUGGGAUCCGGUGCUUUAGUGCUGGUAUGAUCGCAUCCGACAUACCGUGCGUUCUCCUCCCCUUUAUGCCCGCGCCUCCGUGUACGGCCCGCCCAUAGCUCCUUCGACGGCGCCGCCUAGGAACGCGGAGAAAAUAUGACAAAGGAACGGCCAAAAAUAAAAAGAAAGACCUUUCUUUUGAAAAAACAAACACCUAAAAGGAAUGCAACACGAGGACUUCCCAGGAGGUCACCCGUCAUCGUAGUACUCUCGCCCAAGCACGCUUAGCUUCGGAGUUCUGAUGAGAUCCGGUGCUUUAGUGCUGGUAUGAUCGCAUCCGACAUACCGUGAGUUCUCCUCCCCUUUAUGCCCGUGCCUCCAUGUACCGCCCGCCCAUAGCUCCUUCGACGGGACGCUCCUAGGAACGCGGAGAAAAUAUUACAAAGGAGCGCCCAAAAAUAAAAAGAAAGACCUUUCUUUUGAAAAAACAAACGCCUCCGUGUACGGCCCGCCCAUAGCUCCUUCGACGGCGCCGCCUAGGAACGCGGAGAAAAUAUGACAAAGGAACGGCCAAAAAUAAAAAGAAAGACCUUUCUUUUGAAAAAACAAACAAAAAAAAGGAAUGCAACACGCGGACUUCCCAGGAGGUCACCCAUCCUAGUACUACUCUCGCCCAAGCACGCUUAAGUUCGGAGUUCUGAUGGGAUCCGGUUCUUUAGUGCUGGCAUGCUCGCAUCAGGCAUGCCGCGCGUUCUCCUCCCCGGUAGGCACGCAUCUUAGUGUACGUCUCGCCCAUAGCUCCUUCGUUGGGAGCUCCUAGGAGCUCGGAGAAAAUAUGGCAAAGGAACGGCCAUAAAUAAAAAGAAAGACCUUUCUUCUGAAAAAACAAACGCCUCCGUGUACGGCCCGCCCAUAGCUCCUUCGACGGCGCCGCCUAGGAACGCGGAGAAAAUAUGACAAAGGAACGGCCAAAAAUAAAAAGAAAGACCUUUCUUUUGAAAAAACAAACAAAUAAAAGGAAUGCAACACGAGGACUUCCCAGGAGGUCACCCAUCCUAGUACUACUCUCGCCCAAGCACGCUUAACUUCGGAGUUCUGAUGGGAUCCGGUGCUUUAGUGCUGGUAUGAUCGCAUCCGACAUACCGUGCGUUCUCCUCCCCUUUAUGCCCGCGCCUCCGUGUACGGCCCGCCCAUAGCUCCUUCGACGGCGCCGCCUAGGAACGCGGAGAAGGAGUAUGACAAAGGAACGGCCAAAAAUAAAAAGAAAGACCUUUCUUUUGAAAAAACAAACAAAUAAAAGGAAUGCAACACGAGGACUUCCCAGGAGGUCACCCAUCCUAGUACUACUCUCGCCCAAGCACGCUUAACUUCGGAGUUCUGAUGGGAUCCGGUGCUUUAGUGCUGGUAUGAUCGCAUUCGACAUACCGGGCGUACUCCUCCCCUUUAUGCCCGCGCCUCCGUGUACGGCCCGCCCAUAGCUCCUUCGACGGCGCCGCCUAGGAACGCGGAGAAAAUAUGACAAAGGAACGGCCAAAAAUAAAAAGAAAGACCUUUCUUUUGAAAAAACAAACGAAUCCGAGGAAUGCAAGACGAGGACUUCCCAGGAGGUCACCCAUCCUAGUACUACUCUCGCCCAAGCACGCUUAAGUUCGGAGUUCUGAUGGGAUCCGGUGCUUUAGUGCUGGUAUGAUCGCGUCCGACGUACCGUGCGUUCUCCUCCCCUUGAUGCCCGUGCCUCCGUGUACGGCCCGCCCAUAGCUCCUUCGACGGCGCCGUCNNNNNNNNNNNNNNNNNNNNNNNNNNNNNNNNNNNNNNNNNNNNNNNNNNNNNNNNNNNNNNNNNNNNNNNNNNNNNNNNNNNNNNNNNNNNNNNNNNNNAACACGAGGACUUCCCAAGAGGUCACCCAUCCUAGUACUACUCUCGCCCAAGCACGCUUAACUUCGGAGUUCUGAUGGGAUCCGGUGCUUUAGUGCUGGUAUGAUCGCAUCCGACAUACCGUGCGUUCUCCUCCCCUUU